AUUGAACGCUGGCGGCAGGCCUAACACAUGCAAGUCGAGCGAAUGAAGGGAGCUUGCUCCUGGAUUCAGCGACGGACGGGUGAGUAAUGCCUAGGAAUCUGCCUGGUCGCGGGGGAUAACGUCAGGAAACGGGCGCUAAUCCCGCAUCCGUCCUGAGGGUGAAAGUGGGGGAUCUUCGGACCUAACGCUAUCAGCUGAGCCUAGGUCGGAUUAGCUAGUUGGUGGGGUAAAGGCCUACCAAGGCGACGAUCCGUAACUGGUCUGAGAGGAUGAUCAGACACACUGGAACUGAGACACGGUCCAGACUCCUACGGGAGGCAGCAGUGGGGAAUAUUGGACAAUGGGCGAAAGCCUGAGCGAGCCAUGCCGCGUGUGUGAAGAAGGUCUUCGGAUCGUAAAGCACUUUAAGUUGGGAGGAAGGGAUGUAAGUGAAAAUCUUGCUGUUUUGACGGUACCUACAGAAAAAGCACCGGCUAACUUCGUG
Molecule: ribosomal RNA, 484 nt
Filed under: uncultured bacterium
Lineage: Bacteria
Description: partial 16S ribosomal RNA
Rfam family: Bacterial small subunit ribosomal RNA
Source: RNAcentral